CAGUAGCCGCGGUAAUACGAAGGGGGCUAGCGUUGCUCGGAAUGACUGGGCGUAAAGGGCGCGUAGGCGGCGGCCAAAGUUAGGCGUGAAAUUCCUGGGCUCAACCUUGGGGCUGCGCUUGAUACUUGGUUGCUUGAGUGGGGAAGAGGGUCGUGGAAUUCCCAGUGUAGAGGUGAAAUUCGUAGAUAUUGGGAAGAACACCGGUGGCGAAGGCGGCGACCUGGUCCUUGACUGACGCUGAGGCGCGAAAGCGUGGGGAGCAAACAGGAUUAGAGACCCCUGUAGUCCCUGUCUCUUAUAC
RNAcentral lists this ribosomal RNA (301 nucleotides) under uncultured bacterium. RNAcentral describes it as "partial 16S ribosomal RNA". It matches the Rfam family "Bacterial small subunit ribosomal RNA", at positions 509 to 807 of the family's 1533-position model. The record is from RNAcentral.